GAAUUUGGGGGAGGCAGUGACUGGUAGCAGAAGGAAGUUGAAGAGACACACACAGAGAGAAAUAUCCAGAGAGAGAAGGGGACAGAAGCAGGAAGAGAUGCAAAGAGAGAACAGCAAGAGAUGAGGGAGAAAUAGAAGGCUUAUUUAACCCUGACGGAAAAGGAGGAUGUCGUUCGGUUCUCAUCAAGACAAGAAUCAGGCUGGGGAACAAAGAGGAUAGAUAAACGUAUCCAGGACUGGGCUGGAGAACUAGGCAACAGUUGUGAAUAUUGCUGUCACUUCUAGAACUAAUCAGUGAGUAUGGGAUGGGCCAAGUUGAUGUAGAAAAACAGACGAUUUUAACUUUGUUCUUGGUCUGAGUUUCAGGAAUGUCCCCUGGCUUCUGGGUGACCUUGGACCAAAUAUUUCCUGUCCUUCUAAACUCAGCCUUUCGGAGGACCAGAGUUACCUUGAUUUGAUGAGAACAACCUGGGAAGUCCCCUCACACAUUUUUUUAAGAACGAUGUAAAUUGAGCCAGGUAUGGUGGUGCACAUUUGUGAUCCCAGAGGGGUAAAGACAGGAACAUCAGAGUUCAAGGUUGUCCUUGUCUAUAUAGGGAGUUUGAGGUCAGCCUAAGCUACGUGGGCAUGGGGGUUGGGGGUGAAGGAAAACAACACCAUAAAAACCUUAAGAACUAGCCAAGGUUUGUCUCUCUCUUCGGCUAGACAGCCCACAAACCACUUUAUCUCAAGAAAUUCUUACAAAAUAUUUGCCAAGUGGUCAGGCAGAGACUCUGAGAUGGGAGGCCAUUCACCCAAGAUCACCCAGAGAAUACAAGGCAGAGCUGGGUUGAAGCAGCCUUUUUGUGGAGAAAGACCAGCAAUGGUGUCCACAGAAGCCAGAAGAGGUGUCAGAUCCCUCAGAGGAUUGUGAGCUGCUCAAUGUAGGUGCUGAGGAUGCAACUCUGGCCCUUAUAACCAAGCGGUAAGCACUCAUAACCACAGAGCCAUUUCUCAAGCCCCAGAGAAUUUGUGUGUGUGUGUGU
Molecule: long non-coding RNA, 1025 nt
Organism: Rattus rattus (black rat)
Lineage: Eukaryota; Metazoa; Chordata; Mammalia; Rodentia; Muridae
Exons: 3
Source: RefSeq, a predicted model, not a curated record